GUCUUAAACUGCGGUUAAGAGGCGCGGAAUGCACAUUAAUUAUUUAACAGUUAAUUAUAUAGUUAAGAAAUUUUGAACCCGAGUUCAAAGUGCCGUUUGCACAUUAAUUCCUUAAACCCGAGUUCAAGAGUGUAAACUGCGGUUCAAAGUCUUAAACUGGGGUUAACAAGCGCGGAAUGUACAUUUAUUAUCUAACUGUUGAAUAUAUACAGUAAAAAUACUAAAAUGAAAGUUUUGACACACCAUGCGAAUGUCCUAUCAAGUAAAGGUGACGAUUAACCAAAAUGAAGUGUAAUAUAACCUAAUUCAAUGGGUUUUAUGCGGUGCGAGUGUUCACAAAACACCGGUUGACAUUGAAAAUGACAUGGGACGAUGAUGGGUAAAAAACAAUCUCGUCGAAUAACAUUUCUCAAUUAUCAACGAGUUUAAGCCGUUGACACUGCAUUGCAUGGGAAGAAAAGGUGAUAUUGGACCGGAGUUUCAGCGUUCAGAUUUAUUCUGAACGCGAAUUAUUUCAGCUACCUCUCCUAUACCACUAUACCAUUGUAACGAUUUGGAAAACAGACCGGUUCAUGUUGGACUUUGAAGCAGGUUGGCGGUCCUCUUCUGAAUGUUGUCAAUUACGUUGAGCGCACGUGGAUACGGGGAUCCAUGUGGAAGCCGGAGAACUGGACAAACAGUUAGGACUAACAACGAUGUUGAAGGCUGGCAUCGAAGAAUCAAUACGCGAGCCGGGCGCGCUGACUUAGGAUUCUACAUGCUCGUCCCCCUUAUACGUAUGAGGCGGCGACAGAGGACGUGACGAUUCGUCUAGUGUCGGAGCACUCGCUUGCCCGUAUCCAUAGAAGGAAAUACAAGGACGUCCACGGAAAACUAUUCGACACCUGGGACAAAUAUGAGGACGAUGAAAUCACCACCACUCAACUUCUGAGGCGAUGCAGCAACAUCGCAGGCCUUGGGCCCGAUUCAACACAUGACCCAAUCCACGACGAAGAUGUCUGAAAAAGAACAUGGACAUUUAAGAGACAGAAGUGUUGUUGUGUACAUAGUUGUAAAUAUUUAUUUUUGGUGUAAUAUUGUUUGGAAAUAAAUGUAUCUGGUGCGUAAAGGUAAGUAUAUUAUUGUACCGUUUAUUGAGUAUAUUUGUAUUUGAUUAUGUUUUAUAUGCAGAUAUUUAUUAACCAGGUUUUCCGAAGGAAAAAACUGGUUAUUAGAUUGGCGAAUGCGGGCGGGCUGGCGGGCGACGGAACAAGCUUGUCCGGGCCAUAACUAUGUCGUUCAUUGUCAGAUUUUAAAAUCAUUUGGCACAUUUGUUCACCAUCAUUGGACGGUGUGUCGCGCGAAAUAAUUACGUCGAUAUCUCCAUGGUCAAGGUCACACUUUGAGUUCAAAGGUCAAAAAUGGCCAUAAAUGAGCUUGUCCUGGCCAUAACUAUGUCAUUCAUUGUGAGAUUUUAAAAUCAUUUGGCACAUUUGUUCACCAUCAUGGGACGGUGUGUCGCACGAAAGAAUCACGUCAAUAUCUCCAAUGUCAAGGUCGCCACAACUAAAAAUAGAUUUUUUUAAAAAACAAACUUACAAAGGGAGUUAAUUUUGUUUGUUCAUUUCAAAAGUUCAGUUUGAGUUUUCUCCCUUUAUCAGAUUUUUUUUCACAAUGAAAACCUGGUUUUGUGACAAUUUUGUCCCUUGUUUUUGUUGUAAUAUUGCUGCAAAUAAAAGUGUGUUGUGUAAAGGUAAGUAUAUUAUUAUACCGUUUAUUGAGUAGAUUUGUGUUUGAUUGUAUCUUUAGGUUUUAUAUGCAAAUUUUUUUUUGUGUGUAAUAUUGCUUGCAAAUAAAUGUAUGUGUUGUGUAAAGGUAAGUAUAUUAUUAUACCGUUUAUUAAGUAGAUUUUUAUGUUAAUGUAUUGUGUAA
Molecule: long non-coding RNA, 1911 nt
Organism: Dreissena polymorpha
Lineage: Eukaryota; Metazoa; Mollusca; Bivalvia; Myida; Dreissenidae
Exons: 4
Source: RefSeq, a predicted model, not a curated record